RNAcentral lists this ribosomal RNA (964 nucleotides) under uncultured bacterium. RNAcentral's name for it is "bacterial SSU rRNA". It matches the Rfam family "Bacterial small subunit ribosomal RNA", at positions 8 to 973 of the family's 1533-position model. The record is from RNAcentral.
AGAGUUUGAUCCUGGCUCAGGAUGAACGCUAGCGGCAGGCCUAAUACAUGCAAGUCGAACGGUAAAUAUUCAGCAAUGGAUAUGAGAGUGACGUACGGGUGCGUAACACGUAUGCAACCUACCCUUUACAGGAGGAUAGCUCGGGGAAACUCGGAUUAACCCUCCAUAAUAUAAUUGGAUGGCAUCAUUUGAUUAUUAAAUCUCCGGAGGUAAAGGAUGGGCAUGCGUCUGAUUAGUUAGUUGGCGGUGUAACGGACCACCAAGACGAUGAUCAGUAGGGGAACUGAGAGGUUGAUCCCCCACACUGGCACUGAGAUACGGGCCAGACUCCUACGGGAGGCAGCAGUAGGGAAUAUUGGUCAAUGGAUGGAAGUCUGAACCAGCCAUGCCGCGUGCAGGAAGAAGGCCUUCUGGGUUGUAAACUGCUUUUGCCAGGGGCUAAAACGCCCAUGCGUGGGAAAUUGAAAGUACCUGGUGAAUAAGCCACGGCUAACUACGUGCCAGCAGCCGCGGUAAUACGUAGGUGGCAAGCGUUGUCCGGAUUUAUUGGGUUUAAAGGGUGCGUAGGCGGCUUUGUAAGUCAGUGGUGAAAUAUGGCAGCUUAACUGUCAAGGUGCCAUUGAUACUGCGGAGCUUGAGUACAGAUGAGGUAGGCGGAAUUGACGGUGUAGCGGUGAAAUGCUUAGAUAUCGUCAAGAACACCUAUAGCGAAGGCAGCUUACUAGGCUGUAACUGACGCUGAGGCACGAAAGUGUGGGGAUCAAACAGGAUUAGAUACCCUGGUAGUCCACACUGUAAACGUUGAUUACUCGCUGUGUGCGAUAUACAGUACGCGGCCAAGCGAAAGCGCUAAGUAAUCCACCUGGGGAGUACGCCGGCAACGGUGAAACUCAAAGGAAUUGACGGGGGUCCGCACAAGCGGUGGAGCAUGUGGUUUAAUUUCGAUGAUACGCGAGGAACCUUA